CCGGCAACGAGCGCAACCCACACUCUAGUUGCCAUCAUUCAUUGGGCACUCUAGGAGAACUGCCGGUGAUAAGCCCGGAGGAAGGUGUGGAUGACGUCAAGUCCUCAUGGCCCUUACGGUUGGGCUACACACGUGCUACAAUGGUGGUGACAAUGGGUUAAUCCCCAAAAAGCCAUCUCAGUUCGGAUUGGGGUCUGCAACUCGACCCCAUGAAGUCGGAAUCGCUAGUAAUCGCGUAACAGCAUGACGCGGUGAAUACGUUCCCGGGCUU
Molecule: ribosomal RNA, 271 nt
Filed under: uncultured Paracoccaceae bacterium
Lineage: Bacteria; Pseudomonadati; Pseudomonadota; Alphaproteobacteria; Rhodobacterales; Paracoccaceae
Description: uncultured Rhodobacteraceae bacterium partial 16S ribosomal RNA
Rfam family: Bacterial small subunit ribosomal RNA
Source: RNAcentral